CAGUAAUGAAGCCUUUCUGAAA
Molecule: small nuclear RNA, 22 nt
Filed under: Arabidopsis thaliana (thale cress)
Lineage: Eukaryota; Viridiplantae; Streptophyta; Magnoliopsida; Brassicales; Brassicaceae
Description: snRNA_09523
Source: RNAcentral